CAACUGUUCCCCUGCACAGGUUUUGAAUAUUAUGUGUCAUGUGCAUUGUGGGUGAACACGUCAUGGGAACCUCCAAAGGUCCUGUAGCAAAACCAUAGAGUUCUAAACCUAAUCACGUGACCUGCAGGUCCUGCUACGCCUGAACAGGCAGAGAGAAAACACGCUACUCCAAUAACAACCUGAGCAGAAUCUCCUCCUGGACCCUGAAGCUAUUACCUUGGAAUGCGAACCGCAGGCCAGCUGUGCUGCCCAUUUCAAAUUGCAGCAAACAAUUACUAUUAACAGGCCUGUUGUUGAACAUGAAUUAUUCUCCAGGAUCCAUUACAAAAACAUAUUGUUCCAUUCUAUCAGGUGUUAGUUGAAGGCCACGAUAACUUAUGCAUGCCCAUUUAUUAUUUUACACUCAAGGGAAAGGCUCCACCCACUAGAAGCGAAAACAUAAGCGCGCUUUGUCACAAACUCUACUGCAUCUGCCCAUGCCAAGAAAACAACGGAAAGAUGACAUGUUGGGACACCUCAGUAAUAAUAUUACAGUGUACCAGGGGGCCGGAUAAUCCCAUAGGAGAAGGUGAUUUAAAGCACAUUAAUUGUACGGUAGAUCUACUUCAAAAUACAGCAGGAAUAUUACGAAAUACAAAACACCAUUGACCUUGUCAGAAUCUUCUGCCUGUGAAUAAUCUAGAGGUCCAAGUUUAAAGUGUACCUGUCGUCAACAAAAACGUUUUAUAUAAUGUAGAUAAUACCAUUAAAUGUAUAUUUGUAAUAUAUAUUGGUUAAAAAAUAUGUAUAUUUUUGUCCCUGCGGCUAUUGCUUGUGUGUCUCUAUGAGGAGUCCAAAUACAGGAAGUGAGGG
Molecule: long non-coding RNA, 852 nt
Organism: Hyla sarda
Lineage: Eukaryota; Metazoa; Chordata; Amphibia; Anura; Hylidae
Exons: 4
Source: RefSeq, a predicted model, not a curated record